This 163-nucleotide ribosomal RNA is filed under the name Pinguicula pumila. RNAcentral describes it as "5.8S rRNA". It matches the Rfam family "5.8S ribosomal RNA". Rfam says of the family: 5.8S ribosomal RNA (5.8S rRNA) is a component of the large subunit of the eukaryotic ribosome. It is transcribed by RNA polymerase I as part of the 45S precursor that also contains 18S and 28S rRNA. Lineage: Eukaryota; Viridiplantae; Streptophyta; Magnoliopsida; Lamiales; Lentibulariaceae. The record is from RNAcentral.
GACUCUCGGCAACGGAUAUCUCGGCUCUCGCAUCGAUGAAGAACGUAGCAAAAUGCGAUACUUGGUGUGAAUUGCAGAAUCCCGUGAACCAUCGAGUCUUUGAACGCAAGUUGCGCCCGAGGCCAUCCGGUCGAGGGCACGCCUGCCUGGGCGUCACGCAUCG